UACAGAGGUCUCAAGCGUUGUUCGGAUUCAUUGGGCGUAAAGGGUGCGUAGGUGGCGCCGUAAGUCAGGUGUGAAAUUUCGGAGCUUAACUCCGAAACUGCAUUUGAUACUGCGGUGCUUGAGGACUGGAGAGGAGACUGGAAUUUACGGUGUAGCAGUGAAAUGCGUAGAGAUCGUAAGGAAGACCAGUGGCGAAGGCAGCAAACUGGUCAUCAACUGACGCUGAGGCGCGAAAGCGUGGGUAGCAAACAGG
RNAcentral lists this ribosomal RNA (253 nucleotides) under uncultured bacterium. RNAcentral's name for it is "partial 16S ribosomal RNA". It matches the Rfam family "Bacterial small subunit ribosomal RNA", at positions 524 to 776 of the family's 1533-position model. The record is from RNAcentral.